AUUGAACGCUGGCGGCAUGCUUUACACAUGCAAGUCGAACGGUAGAGGGGGCAACCCCUUGAGAGUGGCGAACGGGUGAGUAAUGCAUCGGAACGUGCCCAGUCGUGGGGGAUAGCCCGGGGAAACCCGGAUUAAUACCGCAUACGACCUGAGGGUGAAAGCGGGGGACCGAAAGGCCUCGCGCGAUUGGAGCGGCCGAUGUCGGAUUAGGUAGUUGGUGGGGUAAAGGCCUACCAAGCCUGCGAUCCGUAGCUGGUCUGAGAGGACGACCGGCCACACUGGGACUGAGACACGGCCCAGACUCCUACGGGAGGCAGCAGUGGGGAAUUUUGGACAAUGGGCGCAAGCCUGAUCCGGCCAUGCCGCGUGCGGGGAGAAGGCCUUCGGGUUGUAAACCGCUUUUGUCAGGGAAGAAAUCCUUUGGACUAAUACUCUGGGGGGAUGACGGUACCUGAAGAAUAAGCACCGGCUAACUACGUGCCAGCCGCCGCGGUAA
RNAcentral lists this ribosomal RNA (496 nucleotides) under uncultured bacterium. RNAcentral describes it as "partial 16S ribosomal RNA". It matches the Rfam family "Bacterial small subunit ribosomal RNA", at positions 29 to 523 of the family's 1533-position model. The record is from RNAcentral.